CGGCUUAAUCGUGAAGAGUACGAAGGUAUAUUUUUUAAUGAAAUGAACAAAUUCACAGAAAAUUACAAGUUAUAACGUAUAUUUAAAUAUCAUUAUUUUCCUAAAGGUAUAUCGGAAUGUAAUGAAUGCAUUUUUUAGUUAGAUUGUUUUAAACAAAAUUUCUAAUUCGAAACAUUCUUUCAUUAUUUAAGUAGCUUUCACUAUUAAACCGACAUUGUGUUCAAAUGCUAUUUAAACCGAUUUGACAAAUGUAUUUCGUAGAAAAACUAUUAAAGGUGAAUAAAUUGCAAGUGAAAGAGAGAGAGAGAGAGAGAGAGAGAGAGAGAGAGAGAGAGAGAGAGAGAGAGAGAGAGAGAGAGAGAGAGAGUGAGAGAAAGAAUGAGAGAGAUUUUGAUGAUAGGCGUAGAAUCAUAGAAUCUAAUAAAAAAGAAAUAAAAAAAAUUCUUAACGUUUAAAACCUUCGUUUAAACGUAUAUAUAAAAUCAAUCAAACGAACUUUUUGUUAAAUAUUUUUAUCGAAAGGAUACUUCAUAUAUCCAUUCAAUCUCAAAGAUAUUCUACAAUAAAUGAAUGUCUUUAACGAUAAUACAUCGACACUGUAAUAUUUAAUAUAGUUACAUUAAACUUUUUCGUAAAACAAACGGGCAUGCAGUUCUCUAUUAUAAAUUUAUAAUUUAGCGAGGAUCUUGUGACGUCAUUUUUUGGAUAAGUUUCAUAAAAGAACUGUAUAGUGGAGCUAGUGUCUAAUACUUACAAAACUGGUUGCGCCUAUGAGGCAUCGUUUUAUUAAGCGUAGUUGUGUAUUCUAAUAUCAUUCGUGUGAACGUUAAGGUUAGAAAAAUGGUACAAAGGAAAAUAUUUGUGCGAAAUCAUGCACUUGGUUACGUUAGUAAUCACAUAUUCAUAGUAACUAAAUAUGUUCAAAGAAGAAAAGAAAAGCUUUUGAUUAUUUACGUUAGAAAAAAAUUUUAUAAUUAUGGAUGAGCACACUUUACCUUUCUCAGUGUGUCUGGAACUCAUCCUAAUGAUAUAUGUUGUUUAUCAGCAGAUACCUGCCGCAUUUAUACAAUUGCAGAAAAUAUUGUAUAUGCAUGGAAAAGAGAUCACAUUUACUCUUAGUCGAUAAGAAUAACUUUAAAGUUUGAAACGUAAAAAUGGAAGAAUUACUUAAAAAAUUAAACUUUUCUAAUGAAAUAUUUCAAAUAAUGAUGUUGAUAUAUCCUUUUAAUUAUAUGGACGAACUUUGUAGUUAAUAGAGAUGUUUAUGAUUAUGAAAUUUGAAAAUAAUGAAGAUAAUUUAUAUGUUCAAGGAAUAGAAUAGGACUAUCAUAACUUUAGAACAAAUAACUAUGAUAAAUGUGCUAUGGGUCUAUAUGGUGGAAGAAUUAUAUUGCAUAAUCUUAAAUUAGAUAUAAUUUAAUAGAAUAAUCUUAAAUAGAAAUAAUCUUUUAAUUAAUUUAAAAUUAGGUUGCUAUGAUAUGAUUACAUCUAGUAGCGACAAUUAUUCUAUUAAAGCCACAGAAAAUUUAAACAGAUAUAUUGUAUUUUAGAAUCGGAAAAAGGUCAAAUUAAACAAAGUUCAGUUUGAUGCUAUGAGUUUGAAGUAUUUAUCAAAUGAACUGAUCUUUGCCUGAUUCUUUAAAAUUAUGAGUUUUUGAAUUAUUGAUGAAAAUUUCUUUAUGAUUAUGAGAAGGCCAUUUCAAGCCACCGAAAAUAAUACUUUUUUAUAGCAAAUUUAAUACCUUAAUAAAUUUAAGAAAAAAUUCUGCUGGAAAACUAAAAAAAGGAACAGAGCUAUAUAGUAACUUCUCAUUCUGGUCUAGACAUAGUUACUACAUUGUCUUAUGAUUUAUUAAAGAUGGAUGAUCAUAAAUUAUUAUCAAAAAGGUUUAAAAAUAAUCGUAAUGCAAAUUGUACUUUACCAAAUGUGAAAAUUUCGUUGUUAUUGGUUAUGAUAUUGAUUAUGUAGAUGGAUUUAUUGUAUUUAUAGAAUCAGUUAUAGCAAUGAAUGCGAAGUGGAUAAAGAUUCGAUAAGGGACAUAGUGAUAAAUGUUUUAAAUGAAACAAUUGUUGCUAGAAAAGAUUGCUUAAUAAAAUUUUAUGACUUCAAACCUAAAAAUGACACACACAGGGCAAGAAGAAUUACUAUAACAUUACCUGAAUUAAUAGAAUGACUAUGGUAUUACAAUAUAAAUUACAAUGAAAUGAAUAUGAUUUUAUAUUGUUGCAUUAAAAGAUUUCGCAAUGAUUUUAAUUGAUUUAAAUACGAAAACAAUAAUGAGAUAUUCCUGUGGGCAUAAAGAACAAUUAAUAAAUGCAGCAUUUGAUACGAGAUGGUUAAUCAUAUCUUCUAUGGAUUAUACAAUAAAGGGUUAGGAUAUCUUAUCUUCUCAUUUAACAGAUGUAUUUCAAGUUUCAGAUGCAUGUAUAUCUUUACACUUCGCUUCUACUGGAGAAUUAUUUACCACGGCCCAUAUGUGUAGUAUGAGAAUAUAUUUGUAGUCGGAUCAUAUAAUUUAUUCUCAAGUUUCGCUACAAACUAUAAAAGAAGAAGAUGCGAUAUAUAUAAUUAAUUCUCUCAAUUCUGUCAUGGAAAUUACUCAAUAAGACAAUGAAGAUCUUAAUAAAUAUGAAUCUAAUAAAUACGAAUCAUAUUAUCAGAUUGAUAAAGAUGUCAAGAACUCACAACAACAAUUUGAACAACCACAUAGAGAGUGAAGCCUAUGUUCUUAUCUCUUUUUUGUUGGAUCCUUUAACUCUUUCUUAUCCAUAUAAAUAUUUUUAAGUAAUUGUGAAUUUCUAUUAUAUUAUCAUACUUUUUAUUAUUUUUAAGAAAAGUUUUAGUGACAAUAUAGUUGAACAGUACAAAAAUUAAAAUAAAAAGACUUAUUUCGCAUAUUUACAA
Vespula vulgaris is the source of this 2905-nucleotide long non-coding RNA. RefSeq lists it as uncharacterized. The record is from RefSeq and is a predicted model, not a curated record. NCBI's taxonomy places the organism in Eukaryota, Metazoa, Arthropoda, Insecta, Hymenoptera, Vespidae. The transcript is spliced from 5 exons.